AAGUAUUUUCUUGAUGUUGCUAAGUAUAGCUUUGUUGGCGGCUUCUGCCUGUCCGUUACCUUGUGGGUAAUGGGGGGUGGAUGUGGUAAGACGGAUCUUCCAUUUGUCGCAAAAUGCUUUGAUUUUU
This 127-nucleotide small RNA is filed under the name Arabidopsis thaliana (thale cress). RNAcentral describes it as "ATSL031910". The record is from RNAcentral. Lineage: Eukaryota; Viridiplantae; Streptophyta; Magnoliopsida; Brassicales; Brassicaceae.